This 62-nucleotide ribosomal RNA is filed under the name Penicillium citrinum. Its description in RNAcentral is "partial 28S ribosomal RNA". It matches the Rfam family "Eukaryotic large subunit ribosomal RNA", at positions 1 to 62 of the family's 3401-position model. Lineage: Eukaryota; Fungi; Ascomycota; Eurotiomycetes; Eurotiales; Aspergillaceae. The record is from RNAcentral.
UGACCUCGGAUCAGGUAGGGAUACCCGCUGAACUUAAGCAUAUCAAUAAGCGGAGGAAAUCG